Molecule: long non-coding RNA, 5415 nt
Filed under: Marmota monax (woodchuck)
Lineage: Eukaryota; Metazoa; Chordata; Mammalia; Rodentia; Sciuridae
Source: RNAcentral
GUGAUUUGUAAGGAAAGGGUGUGGGAACCAAGUGGAGACAAUAAAAAUCAAAGGGAUUUUUGAAAGGACCUAGUGAGAGACCCAUUUCUCCUACCCUUGAAACUUAGAGGAUGUAGCUAUGAACUUACUAGACUCAAAGUCUUAAAAUGAAGCGAGUCUAGAAUUAAAGGCAUGAAUAGAAACAAAUAAAAAAAAUGAUCCUGAUGGCAUCAAUUGAGGCCCAGCAUGAACCCUGCUGCCUGAAGCUUGCCUUCCUUCCCAACUUUUUUCAGAUACCUGAGUUGACAACUUCUCUUUUUUAUUUAAGUCAAUUGAAUUAUAUUUGUUGUGCUAGCCAGUUUUUCAUUGCUAUGUCCAAAAUUCCUGACAAGAAUAACUUAGAGAAGGAAAAGUGUAUUUGGGGCUUACAGUCUCCGAGAUUUACUUCAUGGUUAGCUGACUCCAUUGCUUUGAGCCUGAAGUGAUGCAGAACAACAUGGUGGAAGAACAUGGUGGAGGAAAGCUGCUCAGUUCAUGGCAGCCAGGAAGCAGAAAGUACCCAAGCAUCAAGGGUCAAGAUACAUUCCCCUAGGACAGUCCCCAGUGUCCCACUUCCUCCAGCUACACCCUACCUGUCUAUGUGGACCACCCAGUAGUCCAUUCAAAUUAUGAUCCCAUCAAAUGGAUUGCUCCACUGAUGAUGCUACAACUCUCGUAAUCUAAUCAUUUACCUCUGAACAUUUCUGAAUUAGCUAAUAUGUUGUGGAGAGUGCAUUUCCAAAUCCAAACCAUAAUGUUCAAGGUGAUUUAUAUAUGACUAAUUCCUCACAAUAAGGGAGUAAGGACUGUCCAUUCCUGGCUUCCUUUUCCAUGCUAGCCCAAUAAAUAUACUAGUUUCUAUAUCCCUCAGGUUACCCUUUUGAAAAAAUAGGAAAAGUUACCUGCUUCAAAGCCUUACGAAGAUUAAAUGUUUAUAAUAUACAUAAAGGCACAAAUUUGGGGGUAGGGGGAUGGCUCGGUAGCAAAACACUAGCCUAACAUACAUGAGACCCUGAGUUCAAUCCCUAGCAGUACAAAAUAAAAGUGAGGAACAGGAGAAAAUGUUUUCCAAAGUUCUUAAGUACAAGCAGCAUGUGAUGUUUCUAAAUUAAAUUUGGUGAAAAAACCCCACUUUGAAAAGUAGGAAGAUAUCCAAUAUUAGUCAUUCGUGGGGACCUUUUGCCUGUUUAUUUAGUAUAAAGCAAUAUGCCAACGUUGGACAAUGCAAUGUUUUGUCUCAGUUCAUAAGCUAAUGGGCCUUGACUACUAGUCUUAUCAGCAAACAUCAUUUCAUCCCUUAAAAAAAUCCUUCUACCUCCUAGAGGACUUCAACAUAGCACCCAUCCACUUAAGAAACCCAUCUUUAUAUUUUUUUUCUGAAGUCACUGGAGCUGCUACUACCAUUAAACAGCUCUCUCUCUUUCAACCUAGGAUCUGUGUCAACUUUGCCCUCCUCCUUCUUCCCUUAUCAGAACACUAAUUAAAUAUCUUUCCCACAUGCAAAUCUGGAUGGCACUAUCCAACACACUAUCUAACAUUUGUCUCAAAACUUCUGUUUUAAGUUAAGAAACAUGAAAAAUAUUAAUAACUUUUGGAUCCAAGAGCUCAGAAAUUUCUGGUAGACAAAGAUGGAAACAAUUUUGAUUCCUGUGGGUGUUCCCUCUGGUAGGGAGUAGAAACAUCAGAAUAUAACUUGGUCAAGGACCAUGCGACAAAUGAAGAUGACCUAAAUAAAGUUGUAUAAGUAGGUAGAGCAAGAAUCCCUACAGAGGAAAUCACUCAUUCUUGUUGCGAGCAUAACCUCUCUCCCACAGUAAGGCAUUGGUAAACUUACAUAAUCAUCAUGUGGGCUCACCCUUGCUCACCUCAAUUUGGAGAGAUUACUUCCUAGAUGCUCUGUGAAUGCAAACUCUAACUGUCUCAUCCAACGUUUCUCUGAAUAGAAGCGAAUAUCUGGGUGCCAGGUAUGACUUCUUAUGUGACCUCAAGCCAAUCACUCAAACUCUUUCAUCCUCCACAUCUCUUGAUUAGAGUCCAAUAUCCAAAAAGAAACAAAGAUAAGAAUUGCGGACAAAUUCAACACAAACCAUACAAACAUAAAGAAACAGUAGAGUGAAAUAUUUAAAGGGUUGAAAUAAAAAGAAGCAUCAAAUUCAAAUUCUAUAUCCAGAGAAAUUACACUUCAAAAUUGAAAAAUAAAUGAAAUAUUUCUCUAACAAAGAGAGAAAGAGAGAGAAGGAAUCAUUAUUAGAAGAAUCAUCCUGCAAGAAAAGACAAAAAAUGUGGGGCCAGUAGGGUGGUUUUGUCCUAUAACCCCAGCUAAUCAGAAGGUAGAAGCAAGAGAAUGCAAUGUUAUAGGACAGCCACAGCAACUUAGCCAGAUGCUGUCUAAAAUUUAAAAAAUAAAAUAGUCUGAGGAUUUGGCUCAAAUGCAGAGUGCCCCUGGAUUCAAUGCCAAGUAUAGAGAGGAAAAAAAGUUAAAUUAAACUCUUUAGGGAGAAGAAAAAUAAUGUUAUCCGAUCCAUAUAAAAGAUAAGAAAAUGACUGGUGAGAGAAUAAAUGAAAAUAAACUAAAAUUUUUAUUUUCUUAUUUUUUUCUGCCCACCUACCAAUGUUGGUUCUAUUUGUUUCCAUAUUGUUAUGGGAAUUUAGUGUUGUACAUAAUGAGGGAAUUCGUUGUUGCAUAUUUGUACAUACUCACAACAUAACAAUAUAAUUUUGCCCAUAUUCUUUUCCAUGAUUUCCUCGUUUUCUCACUUCCUCUCUCCUCCUAUCCCCUUUUCUCUACUCUACUGAUUUGCUUUCAAUUUUUGUGAGACAAUACACCCCUUUUCCCUUUUUCCUCCCUAGCUUCCAUAUAUAAGAGAAAACAUACAACCCUUGACCUUCUGAGUUUGACUUAUUUUGUUUAUUAUAAUUGCCUCAAGUUCCAUCUACUUUCCUGCAAAUGACAUAAUUUCAUUUUUCUUUAUGGCUGAGAAAAACUCCAUUUUGUAUGGAUACUACAUUUUCUUUACCUGUUCAUUGGUUGAUGGAUACCUAGAUUUUUGGUUCAAUAUUUUUGUUAUUGUGAGUUGGGCUGCCAUGAACAUGUGUAUGAAUGUAAUGCUGUACUAUGAUGACUUAAAAUUCUUUAGGAUAAAUACCAGGGAGUAAUACAGCUGGGUCACAUUGUGGUUCCCUUCCUAGUCUUUUGAGAAAACUUCAUACUAACUUCCAGAGUCGUUGUGUUAAUUUACAAUCCCACCAACAGUGUGCAAAUGUUUCAUUUUCUUCAUAUUCUCUCUAGCAUUUAUUAUUUUUUGUAUUCUUGAUGGUUGCCAUUCUCUUGGAGUGAGAUGAAAUCUCAGUGUUAUUUUCAUUUGCACUUCCGUAAUUGCUAAUAAUGUUAAACAUUUUUUUGUAUAUUUUUGGCUAUUUGUAUUUCUUCUUUUGAGAAAUGAACAUUUAGUUCAUUUCCCCAUUUAUUAAUUGGAUUAUUUGCUUUUGCAGGGGCAAACAUUUUUAGUUCUUUAGUUAUCUUAGAACAAGCUUCAAAGUCUGUAACAUAUUUUGUAAUUUGUACACCAGAAGGAGAAGAAAGUUUCAAGCUAAAGAAAUAUUUGAAGGAAUAAUUGAUAAAAUUCUGGAUAUAAUUCUCUGGAUAUAAUUCUCUCUCUGAAGAGUAGCUAGCAACAAUUGUCUUCCAUUUCUACAUUCUGUCUUCACAUUCUUAAUUGUUUUCUUUGCUGUGAAGAAACUUUUUAAUUUGAUGCCAUUUGGUUUAUUAACUUCUGGCCUUAUUUCUUGAGCCUUUAGGGAUACUAUUGAGAAAGUUAUUGGCUGUAAGCUGCAUAGUUGAACCUAUAUUUUCUUCAAGGAGUUGCAUAGUGUCUGGUCUAAUUGUGAGGUCUUUCAUCUAGUUUGAGUUGACUUCUGUGCAGGGCAAGAGAUAAGGAUUUAAUCUCAUUCAUCUACAUAUAGAUAACCAGUUUCCCCAGCACUAUUUGUUUAAAAAGCUAUCUUUCCUUCAAUGAAUGUUUUUGGCGCCAUUGUCAAGAAUCAGAUGACUGUAGACUGUGAAUUUGUCUCUGUGUCUUCUAUUCUGUCCCAUUGGUUUGUGUAUCUAUUUUUAUGCCAGUACCAUGAAGUUUUGGUUACUAUAACUCUAUAAUAUAAUUUGAAAUCAGGCAUUGUAAUGCAUUCAGCAUUGCCUUUUCUGGCUUAGAGUUGCUUUAGCUAUUCUGGGUCUUUUAUUCUUCCACAUGAAUUUUAGGACUACUUUUAAUAGUUCUGUGAAGAAUUUCAUUUUGAUGGGGAUUGGAUUGAACCUGGAUAUUUAUUUUGGUUGCAUGUCCAUGUUAACAAUACUAAUUCUGCCUAUCCACUAAUGUGGGAGAUCUUUCUAUCUUCUUUAUCUUUUCAAUUUCUUUUUUCAAUGUUUUAUAGUUUGCAUUAUAGAGAUCUUUCACCUCCUUGGUUAUAUUAAUUCCUGGGACUUUGUGUGAGGAGGUAUGGGAGUUAUUUUUGAUAGGACUAGUUUCAUGAUUUCUUUCUCAACAGGUUUUUUUUGGGGGGGGGACGGUAGGGGAGGUAACAGGGUUUGAACUCAGGGGCACUUAACCACUGAGCCACAUCCCCAACACCUAUUUAUUUAUUUAUUUAUUUAUUGUAUUUGUAUUUUAGAGACAGAUUCUCACUGAGUUGCUUAGGGCAUCACUAAGUUGCUGAGGCUGGGUUUGAAUUUGCAAUCCUCCUGCCUGAGCAUUUGAGCAUCCUGACCUUCUGGGAUUACAGGCAUGCACCACUGCAUCUAGCUAGCAGAUUCAUUAUUGGUGUAUAAGAAGGCUAUUAACUUUUGUAUAUUGAUUUUGGAGCCUGUUGCUUUGUGAAGUUUGUUUAUUAGCUCUAAAUGUCUUCUGGUGGAGCUUUAUGGAUCUUGUAAGUAUAGGAUCAUAUCUUCAAACAGUGAUAAUUUGAGUUCUUCCUUUCCUAUUUUUAGCCCUUUUAUUUCCUUCCCUUGCCUAAUUGCUCUGAACAGAACCUAGAACUAUAAUGAAUAGGAGUAGUGACAUAUCUUUAAGGAAAUUCUUUCAGUUUUUCCCCAUUCACUGUGCCAUUGACUUUGAGUUUUCAUAUAUAGCCUUUAUAAUGUUGAGGUGAGUUCCUUCCAGCUUCAUUUCUUAUAUAUUGUAUAUAUAAAGUAUAUACAAUAUAUAAAAUACAUAACUAUAUAAAAUAUUUGCUAAUAUUUUAUUGAGAAUUUUUGCAUAUAAUUUCGUCAGGGAUAUUGGUCUGUGGUUUUCUUGAUGCAUCCACCUCUGGUUUUGGUAUAAGUGUGAUACUGGCUUUUUAGAAUAAAUUUGAAAGUAUUUUAUCAUUUCCUAUUUCAUGGAAUAAUUUCAGGACCAUUUGCAC